Molecule: long non-coding RNA, 627 nt
Filed under: Mytilus galloprovincialis (Mediterranean mussel)
Lineage: Eukaryota; Metazoa; Mollusca; Bivalvia; Mytilida; Mytilidae
Source: RNAcentral
UUCCUUUAAUGGUCAUAAACCUUGUGUUUAAAUUUCAUAGAUUUCUAUUUACUUAUACUAAAGUUAUGGUGCGAAAACCAAGAAUAAUGUUUAUUUGGGCCCCUUUUUGGCCCCUUAUUCCUAAACUGUUGGAACCUCAACUCCCAAAAUCAAUCCCAACCUUCCUUUUGUGGUCAUAACCCUUGCGUUUAAAUUUCAUUGAUUUCUAUUUACUUAUACUAAAGUUAUUGUGCGAAAACCAAGAAUAAUGCUUAUUUGGGCCCUUUUUUGGCCCCUAAUUCCUAAACUGUUGGAACCAAAACUCCCAAAAUCAAUCCCAAUCUUCCUUUUGUGGUCAUAAACCUUGUGUCAAAAUUUCAUAGAUUUCUAUUUACUUAAACUAAAGUUAUAGUGCGAAAACCAAGAAAAUGCUUAUUUGGGCCCUUUUUGGCCCCUAAUUCCUAAAAUGUUCGGACCAAAACUCCCAAAAUCAAUCCCAACCUUCCUUUUGUGGUCAUAAACCUUGUGUUAAAAUUUCAUAGAUUUCUAUUCACUUUUACUAAAGUUAGAGUGCGAAAACUAAAAGUAUUCGGACGACGACGACGACGCAGACUACGACGCCAACGUGAUAGCAAUAUACGACCAAAA